CCCUUUUCUCUUCCUUUCUGAAUCCUUUUCUCUUAUCGAGCUCUUCACCUGCCAUCCCUAAAUGUUGCUUUUUGCUUUAUAGCAAUGUAGUUACCAAACAUACUUUUUGCUUUGUUGCUUUUACUUAAUAGCAAAAAUCAAAAAUAUAUAUAUAUAUUUUUAAAAAAUCAAAAAUUAAAAAGUGUAACCAAACACACCCUUAGUUACAUAUGCC
RNAcentral lists this long non-coding RNA (214 nucleotides) under Elaeis guineensis (African oil palm). Its description in RNAcentral is "long non-coding RNA (EGUI_LNC020981)". Lineage: Eukaryota; Viridiplantae; Streptophyta; Magnoliopsida; Arecales; Arecaceae. The record is from RNAcentral.